GAUGAACGCUGGCGGCGUGCCUAAUACAUGCAAGUCGAGCGAACGGACGAGAAGCUUGCUUCUCUGAUGUUAGCGGCGGACGGGUGAGUAACACGUGGAUAACCUACCUAUAAGACUGGGAUAACUUCGGGAAACCGGAGCUAAUACCGGAUAAUAUUUUGAACCGCAUGGUUCAAAAGUGAAAGACGGUCUUGCUGUCACUUAUAGAUGGAUCCGCGCUGCAUUAGCUAGUUGGUAAGGUAACGGCUUACCAAGGCAACGAUGCAUAGCCGACCUGAGAGGGUGAUCGGCCACACGGGAACUGAGACACGGUCCAGACUCCUACGGGAGGCAGCAGUAGGGAAUCUUCCGCAAUGGGGGAAAGCAUGACGGAGCAACGCCGCGUGAGUGAUGAAGGUCUUCGGAUCGUAAAACUCUGUUAUUAGGGAAGAACAUAUGUGUAAGUAGCUGUGCACAUAUUGACGGUACCUAAUUAGAAAGCCACGGCUAACUACGUG
This 497-nucleotide ribosomal RNA is filed under the name uncultured bacterium. RNAcentral's name for it is "partial 16S ribosomal RNA". It matches the Rfam family "Bacterial small subunit ribosomal RNA", at positions 28 to 507 of the family's 1533-position model. The record is from RNAcentral.